UACGUAGGGGGCGAGCGUUGUCCGGAGUUACUGGGCGUAAAGCGCUUGUAGGCGGUCCACCAAGUUUGGGGUGACAGUUGCCGACUUAAUCGGCAAAGUGCCUCAAAGACUGGCGGACUUGAGGGCCACAGAGGGACAUGGAACUCCAGGUGUAGUGGUGAAAUGCGUAGAUAUCGUCAGGAAUGCCGGUGGUGAAGACGGGUGACUGGGCUGGUUCUGACACUGAGGCACGAAAGCGUGGGGAGCGAACGGG
This 253-nucleotide ribosomal RNA is filed under the name uncultured bacterium. RNAcentral's name for it is "partial 16S ribosomal RNA". It matches the Rfam family "Bacterial small subunit ribosomal RNA", at positions 524 to 776 of the family's 1533-position model. The record is from RNAcentral.